This 3076-nucleotide long non-coding RNA is filed under the name Homo sapiens (human). Its description in RNAcentral is "HSALNT0365534". Lineage: Eukaryota; Metazoa; Chordata; Mammalia; Primates; Hominidae. The record is from RNAcentral.
CAAAAGAAGGAAGAUUGGGAGCGCAUGGUUUAGGGUGGGGUGGAGUGGAAGGGCAAAUGGGGACCAUACUAGACUGCAGAACUAACUAAAAGGGCACGGACUCAGCGACUCCGCGACGGAGCCUGCCUGGGUGAGGGAGUCUCUGGGACGCAGGGGGCUCCUGUAGCUGGCAGGUUGCUGGGCAGGAGGGGGUCACAAACACGGCAGGGAAGUCUCGUCGCUGCGAAGGGGACGCGGCAUCCAUCUCUCCUCGGGAACUGAGGAGAGAAAAGGUCUGAGAACCUGCCCUCUUCUGCUACUUCCUCUUCCCCCCACCCUUCCCCCUUUCAGUACCAGGAUUCUUUGGGCGGUGAGUGCCAGAGGGCCCCAGUCACCCAGAACCCCCACCCCGAGUCAAAGCGCUGAAAUGAGCCCCGCGGCAGGUACGUGUGCGCGCCGCGAUGUAUUUCUGCCCCUUGGCCGGGCUUGUGCAGCCAAAUGGGGUGGCUGCGCAUGUCUUGGUCCAGGUAUGUCCCCGUCGCAGCCUCGGGCGUCUGGAUGUAUCAGAAAACCCGCAGGGGCAGGGUGCAUUUUCCCCGGCUGGGAGGGGUGAGGGUGGGCAGAGGGAAGGGCUGGGGAUUCGAUCCUUUUCUCCCACUCACGGGUCCCACCCCGCCGCCUAGGGGCCGUGUUCAUUACCUUUGAAAAUGCUCAGUUCUUCUUCGGUCCAGGGCGGGGCAGAAGGGAGGAUGCAGAGGGAGAAACAGGACACGAGAUGACCAAGGUUUCACAUAAUAAUGGUAAUUCAGUUCUGCACAUUAGCUCUCCCUGCCAUCAUCCAUCCGGUUCAUAGAAGUGGACAGGAUAUGAGGAAGGCUUCAGUGAUCACUGUCCUAGCCAGAUUCUGCCCCAGGACCACAAGCUUAAACUCCAGAUGCCCAAGCCCCGGCUUAUAAAUGGUUCCCCUCGCCAUGUUUCCCAAGCUGUGGAGGAGUGGGAAGGUUGAGUGGAGGAAGGGAUAUCUGCCUCCAACCACGCUAGACCCGACCUGCUGUCACCGCCCGCCCCAGCUGGAUCCAGAAUGGAAACCUGGAAUAGCAGGCAAAGCCACCCCCGACACUCCAUGUUCCUCCCCAGAACCAGCUCCCUCUCCUACCAGCUGAAUUUUCAGGACAGAGCUGCCAGGUGGCCAGUCCACAGGUGGAAGUGGAAGGAGAUUGAAAGGACCUGGGAAGAGGUUCAUUGGUCAUGGUGCCUGGCUGGUGCUUUCCAAAGCCAAGGUUGCUGGUGUGUGCCUGACAGUUCCAUAGGAAGUAGGGACUUCUGGGAGGGAGGAGGAGGUGGAAGGUGCCCUGGUCAGCAAAGUGGGGUCCAAGCCUUCUAGUCCCAACUGGGCACAUCACUUCAUCUCUGAGAGUCUCAUUUUCUUCAGCCACAACUAAUGAACAAAGUCUCCUUCAGCUCCCAAAUCCGAAUAGCUUUAAGGAUAUCCCCUGCUUGCUGCUUGUUAUUAUGUCAGGCCCUGUGCUAAGCGCUUUGCAUAUAUUACCUCAUUUAAUCCCCAUUUUGGAAGUCAGGAAACAGCCUCUGAGACAUUUUGUAACUUAGCUAAGGUCACUCAGUUGACAAAUAGUGAAGUGAUGGGAUUCAGUAGCCUCUGCUGCUAGCCACUGCCUCAGGGCAGGUAAUUAUUUCUAUGAAUUCAGCAGGGCCAAGCCAACUAGACUAAGCAAAAGAAAUGAGGAUCCAAAAAAAUUCAUGCGCUUUUUCAUGCGCGGUGAAUGCAGGAAAAGUCAUAUAUAUAUAUGGCUAUGUAAAUCAGCAACUGCAAUAUUUGAAUCAGCAUGAAUAAAAAACCAUUCCUCUGUCUCUUAAAAAAAUAGGCAGAUCUGUUUUCUUCUUCCUCAUUUCUAUCUGAGCCUCUGUACCAAGGAGAAACGGGAAUAAGACAGGACUAGAUUCUUCCCAAACACCAGGUGAUGCGGUCAGUGAGGAGAGCUCCAGAAUCAAAAGAUGAAGAAGGACCUGCCUCUAGCCCCCAAGAGGUAUGCUGUUCUUCCCACACAUCUCAGCUCUCUCCCAGCACUGAGUCCAGCCCUCCACAGAAAGGGGAGGAAAAUGCCCACCCCUAGCCCUGCCCUUCCCCAACCCUCCACACAUCACUCCUUCUUCUUCCUGCCCUCCUGCACAGUCUGAUAAUGGUGCUCUCUCUUGCUCAGCCCUUUAGCCCUGCAGACCUAGGACAGGGCAUGACUUGGGAAGGCUCCUGUGCACAGGGUGCACUGGAGGAGGUGCCCCAGGCCCUGGGCCAUGGAGAUAAUUGUGUAUCUGCUUCUCUUUUACCUUUUGGGUGGGUAGCCUCUCCUUUUUUAAGGGACACUGACUUCAACCAUGUCUACUAAUCCCUCAGUAUGGCUCCCUGGGCACUCAAGAGCAACAGUUCCAGGCAGGGACCCCCACAUCCUACUCUAAUUACUACUGCAGACACAGAGGAGACCAAUUCCAUUCCUUCCCUGGCCUCUUGGAUUCUUUGUUUACUCACCUCUUUCCAGUGACCACGUCUCCCACUUCCCCUUCCCCAGCAAUACUCCCCUGUCAUCCUCACCUCUCCCCUCCCCCCAGCUCAUUUCCCAGAACCCACCAUCCAUUUAUCUUCUCUACUUUAUACAACACUGCUGGGAGGAAGGGCUCUUCCUCAGUGGAGCCCAGGAACCUCCAUGAGGAGCCCAUUUCUCCCUUCACAACCAAAAAAUUGCUUCCUGUAGAAUAACAAGCAGAGGGAAAAGGCUGGAAGGAGAUAUGUUAUCGGGGUGUUCUCCAGGGGGUGGGACUGUAGGUGACUGACAUGUUUGUUUUUCAUACUUUUCUCUAGGUUUUACGUUUUCUAUUAUGAGCAGAUUACUUUUAUAAUCAGUAAAUAUUUAGAGGAGAGGUUAAACCACAGCUCUUCGAAGAAGACAGGGCUAUGUUUGAAUCCUGCCUCCACAGUUAGGAGUCAUGCUUCCUUGGAAAAAUCUAACUUUCUAAACCUCAGUUGGCACAUCUGUGAAAUAAUACCUACUUCACAGGGUUGUUGCUAUGAUUAAAUAUAAAGUGC